This is a long non-coding RNA of Macaca fascicularis (crab-eating macaque), 2954 nucleotides long. Lineage: Eukaryota; Metazoa; Chordata; Mammalia; Primates; Cercopithecidae. The record is from Ensembl.
CCCCUUCCCUCUAAGCGAUGGCUGAGAGGCGGUGCAUGCAGAUGGGGACUCUGCUCGCCCCCCAUCUCACCCCCCAAGCGGAGACUGGUCUUCUCGUCGGAUUGCCCAUGCACUUGUUGCAGAAACAGCCAAGGUAGGCAAGAAGCUUAUUAAGUUUCAUUUUUAAAAAAUUAGUUUGGGGAUGCUCCUCUAGAAGACGGGGGUGGGGCGGAGUGGGGAGGGAAGAGUGGGGAGACAGAGAAGGAGAAGUCUCCCCCCCUUUACUUUCACUAUGCAAGCAGGGCCUUCUCCCUUCUUCCCUUCUUCCCUCUCCUCUCUCUGGGCUGCACAGCAUCCCAGCAAAGGGGGAGGGAUGAGAUGGGCGCUAUAACUGGCAACCCUGGCUUAAAGGUAGUGAUGGUGGGCUUGCAUUUGAGAUUGUGAUGUUAUAAAGGCUUCAUUCUCCAGCUCAGAAACCGCAGGACUCUGCCUUUUGGGGUUUUUGACAUGAUGCAUAUGUGUAUGUAUACGCGCCUGCGGGCUCUGUGGGGGCUGGGUACUCCCCAGAAGUUAGUGUGGCCACCCAGAUGGGAGCAGCGUGUAAGGGGGUAAACCUGUUCCUUCAUUCCCCAACUUCAGUUUGGGAAACUGGGAAGUUACUGCCGGUGGUCUUAAGAAACAGAUACUAAAAACCAAACCAAACCACUCAUUCACUGGCGGAGGCCGAGAGCACCUGGCAGGCAGCCUCUGGGCAGCACUGGACUGGAGCAUGUGCGCCUGCCAUCCUUAGCUUACAAGAAAACGCUUUCUGGUUCCUCCGUGUGCCUUCCACUGGCCUGUUAGAGCCAGCUUUGUGGAAACUCUUCCCCAGACUGGAGGCAGCUUUGGCAACUGCCCGUGCUGAAGGGGGUGUCUUCAAGUCAGCGUGGCCUGGGCUGUCUUGUGAAGUGCGUGGAAGUCGUGCUUAGGAAUGACUGCCCGGGAGUGGCUAAAGAGUUCAUUAAAAAAUGUCUCCCGAAAACCGGUCCAGGUGCACUUUUCAGCAGGUCACGGAGGAGAGCUUUAAGAAGGGGAGUUUUAAGUUGUCCCAGUUAGCACCCACCUUCUGCAUCACUGACCCUUUUAAGAAAGGAGUUUGGCUAUAGGAAGUGUGGUGUUGAUGCUCACUAACUGGAGAGGAUAACAGCAGGAGUCCUCAGCUUAACUAGUUAACCAGCAGCCUUUGCCUCUCCUUCCCUCUGUUUUCUUGGUCCUCAGCCUACUGGUGUCUGCAGAAUAGUUGUAGGUCUUGGCUGUCAGCUACCUUGAUGAUGCUGGGAGUUUUAACUUUGCUAGGAUAAUUUUAGCAUCUGAGGUCCAACCCAGAGACGUUUAGUAGGGUUAGGGAGUAGCCACUAGGCAGUGGGGUUAACUAAGGUUGGUUAAGCUUUCUGCAAUUCUGCAGACAGGCUCUGUUCUAGCAGGGUCGAGAAAAUGGGUUUUAAAAAACUCACUACACAUUGCUGAUGGAGAGUGCUUUUUUUCUUUCCUAACUGUCGUCAGAUUUCCAGAUUGAGGGUUGAUACUUGGCAGUUUGAGAGUUGAGUUAGUUGGGAAUUAAAUAUUAUUGCUGCUUAUCAAAUGUUCCUAACUAGGCAUUAAUUAAACAAAUUAGCUAUUAUUUUUACCUGAUGAAAAUCUGAGUCUGGUUGUUGUAUUUGCUGGGAGGGUAAACAAAAUCUUUAUGUAUGUUCAUUCCAGGGUGGAAUUAUUUACAUGCCUAGCCUCAGAGCCAAGAGCAGUCAUUCAGGUUUUUUUCCUUAUAUUUAUGAGAUUUAUUUUAUUGUCUUGCUUUGGCCAUUAAUCAAGUCACAGUAGGUUUUUUUUUUUUCUCUUCUACCGAGAAUGUUCUUGUGGUAAUAAAGGUUUGAAGGCCCAUGAAUCAUAAUUCAUUCUUUUUAAAAUAUUGUGGUGAUUGUCAGGAUCUGAUUUAUAGGAAUUGAUACCCAGAGUGACACACCUCUCUGGGCUCCGCCCUUUUAGGCAUGUCCGUUUUCGCCAAAGGAUUGUUUAGAAGCCAGCUUGACAUCCCAAAAAGAGCAUUUCCCUUCUGCUGUAGGAGAAGAUUAAUUUUGCAGGUUCCAUAGUAAACAUGGGUCUUUUCACAGCUUGGUAAGCAGGCUUCCACAUAGCAGGCAUGUGUUAUUAUCACAUAGCAUUUAUGUGAGCUUGCUGUGAAAACAGUUGUUCUAUGAACUGUGUGGAAAGUACUCAGUUUUGCCUCCUUUAACCGGCUUGGGCCUGUGGUUUUUGUUGAGUUAGGAACUUAAAGUGUAAAAGAGGAGACAGACUAGUGUUUUUUGCUGCUUAUAUAAUAAAAUGUGUGGUCACAAAAAAUAAAGCUUGUUUAUAAUUUUCUUUUUCUCCUUCUUUAAUGGGUGGGUUGGUCAUAAUAACCGAAAGCGUUUUUUUUGUUUGUUUGUUUUUUGUUUUUUGGCAAAUGUAAGGAUUCUCCUUGAAGUUGAUUAGCCAGGAAGUGUUAAAAUUGUCUUGUGUUCAAUAGUUGGCUCAAGUUUACAGUAUUUGGAAAUUGACAAAGAACUUAAACGUGGUUCAUGCUCAAGACUGGGGAAACAUCACUGGAAGGAAAGGUGGGGAAAGUACCAAUUUGUAGCCAUUUCUGGGCUUUGGAUUUUUUAUCUUAAAAGUGCGUGGUUUGAUCCGUGAGUUCCCUUCCGGCUCUGAAAUUCUGUGUCUUGUAAGCGAGGUCUCCAGAGGUCUUGACAGUCUCUUCCUGAGCCAACGGCCAAUUGCUUCAUGGACUUGGGUGAGCUGACUAACUUCUGUUUUUGUCUUUUCAUGGAGAAAGUGGAUUUGAUCCUUGGUAUUCCAGAAAGGAUUCUUGAGUGGCCUGGUGAUCUUGACCAUCAAACACAAGGAAAUAGUUGUGAAUAAAGUAUUUUUGACAAUGCCAGUCAAAAAAAAAAAAAAAAAAA